AUGAGAACCAAUCCUACUACUUCUCGUCCCGAGGUUUCCACAAUUGAAGAAAAAUGUACAUGUCGUAUCGAUCAAAUUAUUGGACCCGUGUUGGAUGUCCCUUUUCCCCCAGGCAAGUUACCUUAUAUUUAUAACGCUUUGGUAGUCCAUAGUAGAUAG
RNAcentral lists this ribosomal RNA (159 nucleotides) under Triticum aestivum (bread wheat). RNAcentral describes it as "partial small subunit ribosomal RNA". The record is from RNAcentral. Lineage: Eukaryota; Viridiplantae; Streptophyta; Magnoliopsida; Poales; Poaceae.